This 506-nucleotide ribosomal RNA is filed under the name uncultured bacterium. Its description in RNAcentral is "partial 16S ribosomal RNA". It matches the Rfam family "Bacterial small subunit ribosomal RNA", at positions 29 to 523 of the family's 1533-position model. The record is from RNAcentral.
AUUGAACGCUGGCGGCAGGCCUAACACAUGCAAGUCGGACGGUAGCACAGAGGAGCUUGCUCCUUGGGUGACGAGUGGCGGACGGGUGAGUAAUGUCUGGGGAUCUGCCCGAUAGAGGGGGAUAACCACUGGAAACGGUGGCUAAUACCGCAUAACGUCGCAAGACCAAAGAGGGGGACCUUCGGGCCUCUCACUAUCGGAUGAACCCAGAUGGGAUUAGGUAGUAGGCGGGGUAAUGGGCCACCUAGGCAACGAUCCCUGGCUGGUCUGGGGGGAUGACCAGCCACACUGGAACUGAGACACGGUCCAGACUCCUACGGGAGGAAGCAGUGGGGAAUAUUGCACAAUGGGCGCAAGCCUGAUGCAGCCAUGCCGCGUGUAUGAAGAAGGCCUUCGGGUUGUAAAGUACUUUCAGCGGGGAGGAAGGCGGUGAGGUUAAUAACCUUGCCGAUUGACGUUACCCGCAGAAGAAGCACCGGCUAACUCCGUGCCAGCAGCCGCCGUAA